AGUUAAGUGACUAAGCGUACACGGUGGAUGCCUAGGCAAUCAGAGGCGAAGAAGGACGUGCUAAUCUGCGAAAAGCUUGGAUGAGUUGAUAAGAAGCGUUUAAUCCAAGAUAUCCGAAUGGGGAAACCCGAUGGAUGAAGAAUCCAUCAUUUCAUUAUGAAUCCAUAGUAAUGAAAGGCAAACCGGGAGAACUGAAACAUCUAAGUACCCCGAGGAAAAGAAAUCAAUCGAGAUUUUGUAAGUAGCGGCGAGCGAAAGCGAAAGAGCCAGUGAGUGAUAGCAGCAAAGACAGAAGAAUUGGCUGGGAAGCCAAGCGACACAGGGUGAUAGCCCCGUAUUCGAAGUUUUUGUUGUGGUACUAAGCUUGCAACAAGUAGGGCGGGACACGAGAAAUCCUGUUUGAAGAUGGGGGGACCAUCCUCCAAGGCUAAAUACUCCUGAUUGACCGAUAGUGAACCAGUACUGUGAAGGAAAGGCGAAAAGAACCCCAGUGAGGGGAGUGAAAUAGAACCUGAAACCGUGUACGUACAAGCAGUGGGAGCCCUUUGGGGUGACUGCGUACCUUUUGUAUAAUGGGUCAGCGACUUAUAUUUUGUAGCGAGGUUAACUGAAUAAGGGAGCCGAAGGGAAACCGAGUCUUAACUGGGCGGAUAGUUGCAAGGUAUAGACCCGAAACCCGGUGAUCUAGCCAUGGGCAGGUUGAAGGUUGGGUAACACUAACUGGAGGACCGAACCGACUAAUGUUGAAAAAUUAG
This 755-nucleotide ribosomal RNA is filed under the name Glaesserella parasuis. Its description in RNAcentral is "partial 23S ribosomal RNA". It matches the Rfam family "Bacterial large subunit ribosomal RNA", at positions 1 to 800 of the family's 2925-position model. The record is from RNAcentral. Lineage: Bacteria; Pseudomonadati; Pseudomonadota; Gammaproteobacteria; Pasteurellales; Pasteurellaceae.